AUUGAACGCUGGCGGCAGGCCUAACACAUGCAAGUCGAACGGUAACAGGAAGCAGCUUGCUGCUUCGCUGACGAGUGGCGGACGGGUGAGUAAUGUCUGGGAGACUGCCUGAUGGAGGGGGAUAACUACUGGAAACGGUAGCUAAUACCGCAUAACGUCGCAAGACCAAAGAGGGGGACCUUAGGGCCUCUUGCCAUCGGAUGUGCCCAGAUGGGAUUAGCUAGUAGGUGGGGUAACGGCUCACCUAGGCGACGAUCCCUAGCUGGUCUGAGAGGAUGACCAGCCACACUGGAACUGAGACACGGUCCAGACUCCUACGGGAGGCAGCAGUGGGGAAUAUUGCACAAUGGGCGCAAGCCUGAUGCAGCCAUGCCGCGUGUAUGAAGAAGGCCUUCGGGUUGUAAAGUACUUUCAGCGGGGAGGAAGGGAGUAAAGUUAAUACCUUUGCUCAUUGACGUUACCCGCAGAAGAAGCACCGGCUAACUCCGUG
Molecule: ribosomal RNA, 490 nt
Filed under: uncultured bacterium
Lineage: Bacteria
Description: partial 16S ribosomal RNA
Rfam family: Bacterial small subunit ribosomal RNA
Source: RNAcentral